Long non-coding RNA from Helianthus annuus (common sunflower), 589 nucleotides. RefSeq lists it as uncharacterized. NCBI's taxonomy places the organism in Eukaryota, Viridiplantae, Streptophyta, Magnoliopsida, Asterales, Asteraceae. The transcript is spliced from 3 exons. The record is from RefSeq and is a predicted model, not a curated record.
UGGGGUUUUCUACCACUUCGUCCUUUCUGCUCAUUUUACCCAAACUCAUAACACACAUUUACAGAGAAAUACAGACGGAGAGAGAACGACGUGAGAGAGAAACCGAUGAAAGGAAGCGGAAGCCAAUCACCCCAACCCGAUGAAGGUGAUGAUGGUGACGACUACGAUAACCAGAUUGGCAGCGAUGGCGGCUAGGGUUCCAGUUUGGGGGUUUUUGAAACCAGGUCGUCAAGGUGUUGAGGACGUCUGCAGUCUGGUUGGCGGCUAGGGUUCCAGUUAGAUUCAGUUAAUUAGGAUUCAGCUAAGAGUGCCUGAGUAUGGUUGGACAACACAAAAAGUUUUCUACCUCAUUAACUUCAUUGUAAAUGGAGUGCGUGCCAUUGUCUUUGGGUUUCACUUAGACCGCCCGUAGUGGGCGUUUUUAAAAAAAAAAUUCCCAAACACGCCCCUUCACCCCCCCCCGGUGUGAUCGGGCGUCAUUCGCGAAAAAAUGGUUUGUGGCGUGUUUUGAAACACGCUCAAGGGGCAAAUCUUCGACCAAUCAGAACGAGAUGCAACGGUCAUAAACAAAUGGCUAGAUUUAAUUUUU